RNAcentral lists this ribosomal RNA (433 nucleotides) under uncultured bacterium. RNAcentral describes it as "partial 16S ribosomal RNA". It matches the Rfam family "Bacterial small subunit ribosomal RNA", at positions 29 to 507 of the family's 1533-position model. The record is from RNAcentral.
AACGAACGCUGGCGGCAUGCCUAACACAUGCAAGUCGAACGAGACCUUCGUGUCUAGUGGCGCACGGGUGCGUAACGCGUGGGAACCUGCCCUUAGGUUCGGAAUAACUCCCCGAAAGGGGUGCUAAUACCGGAUAAUGUCUUCGGACCAAAGAUUUAUCGCCUUUGGAUGGGCCCGCGUUGGAUUAGCUAGUUGGUAGGGUAAAAGCCUACCAAGGCGACGAUCCAUAGCUGGUCUGAGAGGAUGAUCAGCCACACUGGGACUGAGACACGGCCCAGACUCCUACGGGAGGCAGCAGUGGGGAAUAUUGGACAAUGGGCGAAAGCCUGAUCCAGCAAUGCCGCGUGAGUGAUGAAGGUCUUAGGGUUGUAAAGCUCUUUUACCCGGGAUGAUAAUGACAGUACCGGGAGAAUAAGCUCCGGCUAACUCCGUG